RNAcentral lists this ribosomal RNA (577 nucleotides) under uncultured bacterium. RNAcentral's name for it is "bacterial SSU rRNA". It matches the Rfam family "Bacterial small subunit ribosomal RNA", at positions 338 to 916 of the family's 1533-position model. The record is from RNAcentral.
CCUACGGGAGGCAGCAGUAGGGAAUAUUGGGCAAUGGAUGCAAGUCUGACCCAGCCAUGCCGCGUGGAGGAAGAAGGUCCUCUGGAUUGUAAACUCCUUUUGUCGGGGAAGAAKAGUUCUCUUGCGAGGGAAWGUGACGGUACCCGAUGAAUAAGCCACGGCUAACUACGUGCCAGCAGCCGCGGUAAUACGUAGGUGGCAAGCGUUGUCCGGAUUUAUUGGGUUUAAAGGGUGCGUAGGUGGUUUAWUAAGUCAGUGGUGAAAGCUGGUUGCUCAACAAUCAAGUUGCCAUUGAUACUGWUAGACUUGAGAGAAGUGGAGGUUCAUGGAAUGGAUGGUGUAGCGGUGAAAUGCAUAGAUAUCAUCCAGAACGUCGAUUGCGAAGGCAGUGGGCUGUACUUUUUCUGACACUGAGGCACGAAAGCGUGGGGAUCAAACAGGAUUAGAUACCCUGGUAGUCCACGCUGUAAACGAUGCGAACUAGCUUUUUGGUUUAGGAUUAGGAGGCUAAGGGAAACCGAUAAGUUCGCCACCUGGGGAGUACGCCGGCAACGGUGAAACUCAAAGGAAUUGACGG